Desmophyllum pertusum is the source of this 92-nucleotide non-coding RNA. NCBI's taxonomy places the organism in Eukaryota, Metazoa, Cnidaria, Anthozoa, Scleractinia, Caryophylliidae. The record is from the annotation of a GenBank genome assembly.
UCUCCUGUAGCUCAGUGGUAAAUCAGAGUAAAGUUUCCGACCGGUGUACAGAAGGUCAUAGCAUGUCAUAGGUUCGACUCCUGUUGGGGGAA